CAACAACUAAGUGAUGAAAAGUUGAUUGAAGUUUCACCACAAGAUCAUAAAAGCCAGUGCUCGGAAGAGAAAAUCAUGGGAACAAAUGUAAGAGAGUGUCCUUCGGCAUGCGUAGUUCCAUCCAAUCCAUUAUCAAGGGCUUCCCAUG
Long non-coding RNA from Hibiscus syriacus, 148 nucleotides. RefSeq lists it as uncharacterized. NCBI's taxonomy places the organism in Eukaryota, Viridiplantae, Streptophyta, Magnoliopsida, Malvales, Malvaceae. The record is from RefSeq and is a predicted model, not a curated record. The transcript is spliced from 3 exons.